AUUGAACGCUGGCGGCAUGCCUUACACAUGCAAGUCGAACGGCAGCACGGGGGCAACCCUGGUGGCGAGUGGCGAACGGGUGAGUAACACAUCGGAACGUGCCCAGUAGUGGGGAUAGCUCGGCGAAAGCCGGAUUAAUACCGCAUACGACCUACGGGUGAAAGCGGGGGAUCGCAAGACCUCGCGCUAUCGGAGCGGCCGAUGUCAGAUUAGGUGUGUGGGAAAGGCCUACCAAGCCGACGAUCUGUAGCUGGUCUGAGAGGACGACCAGCCACACUGGGACUGAGACACGGCCCAGACUCCGUACGGGGGGGCAG
RNAcentral lists this ribosomal RNA (317 nucleotides) under uncultured bacterium. Its description in RNAcentral is "bacterial SSU rRNA". It matches the Rfam family "Bacterial small subunit ribosomal RNA", at positions 29 to 351 of the family's 1533-position model. The record is from RNAcentral.